UACGUAGGUGGCAAGCGUUGUCCGGAAUUAUUGGGCGUAAAGGGCGCGUAGGCGGUCACGCACGUCCGUUGUGAAAUCGCUCGGCUCAACUGGGGAGGGUCACUCGAUACUGAUCGACUGGAAGGCAGGAGAGGGAAGCGGAAUUCCCGGUGUAGUGGUGAAAUGCGUAGAUAUCGGGAGGAACACCAGUGGCGAAGGCGGCUUCCUGGCCUGUUCUUGACGCUGAGGCGCGAAAGCUAGGGGAGCAAACGGG
RNAcentral lists this ribosomal RNA (253 nucleotides) under uncultured bacterium. Its description in RNAcentral is "partial 16S ribosomal RNA". It matches the Rfam family "Bacterial small subunit ribosomal RNA", at positions 524 to 776 of the family's 1533-position model. The record is from RNAcentral.